GUAGUCAUAUGCUUGUCUCAAAGAUUAAGCCAUGCAUGUCUCAGUGCAAGCCGUCUAGUACGGUGAAACCGCGAAAGGCUCAUUAAAUCAGUUAUGGUUCCUUAGAUCGUACCCACGUUACUUGGAUAACUGUGGUAAUUCUAGAGCUAAUACAUGCCGACAGAGUUCCGACCAACUGUACAGAUGUGCGACGGCCUCGGUCGUAGUCGCUGUACGGUACGGAAGGAACGCUUUUAUUAGAUCAAAACCGGCCAGACGGCGUAGCGCGUCUACGUCGUAAGCGGCCCGCGCAAAGACUUGGUGACUCUGAAUAACUUCGAGCUGAUCGCACGGUCCUCGUACCGGCGACGUAUCUUUCAAAUGUCUGCCUUAUCAACUGUCGACGGUAGGUUCGACGCCUACCGUGGUGGUAACGGGUAACGGGGAAUCAGGGUUCGAUUCCGGAGAGGGAGCCUGAGAAACGGCUACCACAUCCAAGGAAGGCAGCAGGCGCGCAAAUUACCCACUCCCAGCUCGGGGAGGUAGUGACGAAAAAUAACGAUACGGGACUCAUUAGAGGCCCCGUAAUCGGAAUGAGUACACUUUAAAACCUUGGUCACACGAGGAUCAAUUGGAGGGCAAGUCUGGUGCCAGCAGCCGCGGUAAUUCCAGCUCCAAUAGCGUAUAUUAAAGUUGUUGCGGUUAAAAAGCUCGUAGUCGGAUCUGUGUCCUCGCGACGUCGGACCACCGAGUGCCUGUCGGAUUAUAUCCGCGGGCCAGGUGAUUGUUCCCGGCGUGUCAGCGGGACGUCCCGCCGGCAGGCGGACACGCGUCGUUUGCCGUCCAGCCUCGUGCUCGGACGCUUCGAAGAGCGGCCGCCGUCAAAAUCCUGUUCGUGCGCGGACUCGUUCCGCGUACGGCGGGCCGGCACGUUUACUUUGAACAAAUUAGAGUGCUCAAAGCAGGCUGGAAAGUGGCGAGGCGUUCACGCGUCUCGUCGUGUUAGCCCUGAAUAUGGUCGCAUGGAAUAAUGGAACAAGACCUCGGUCCCGCCUCUACGCUGCUUGCAGCGCGUGAAGUCGCCCUCGUGGCGCUUCCGUGCGCGGGUUGCCGGUCGGGGCCCCGCAUUCGCGUCCGUUUACUCCGUUCAUCGUUCCGGUAGCCUUUCGGGGCGUCGGACGGUGCGGUUGCGGGUUACGCAAUGCCCGUGGUCAACCCCGAUCGUUGGUCGGUUUUCGGGACCGGAGGUAAUGAUCAACAGAGACAGGCGUGGGCAUUCGUACCGCGACGUUAGAGGUGAAAUUCUUGGAUCGUCGCGGGACGAACCGAAGCGAAAGCAUUUGCCAAGUAUGUUCUCGUCUGAUCAAGAACGAAAGUUCGAGGUUCGAAGGCGAUCAGAUACCGCCCUAGUUCUAACCGUAAACGAUGCCAGCUAGCGAUCCGCCGGCGUUCCUCCGAUGACCCGGCGGGCAGCUUCCGGGAAACCGAAGCUUUUCGGUUCCGGGGGAAGUAUGGUUGCAAAGCUGAAACUUAAAGGAAUUGACGGAAGGGCACCACCAGGAGUGGAGCCUGCGGCUUAAUUUGACUCAACACGGGAAACCUCACCAGGCCCGGACACCGGAAAGAUUGACAGAUUGAGAGCUCUUUCUUGAUUCGGUGGGUGGUGGUGCAUGGCCGUUCUUAGUUGGUGGAGCGAUCUGUCUGGUUAAUUCCGAUAACGAACGAGACUCUGUCCUGCUAACUAGGCGGGUUUCUCGCCACCCGCGGAUGCGUACGGCGGUUCGCGCCGACGUGCGCGCCGCGGUCAACGGCGAAACGGUAUCCCCGAAUGCGGUUGGUUGUCGGUAGCGGCGUUCGUUUGUCGGCGGCGCUGUUCGCUGCGUUCGUUUUGCUCUCGGGUGAGGCGACGCGGUGGGCGGCUCGUCGGCGGCGUUCGUUGCCCGGCGACUGUAGGCCGCUAUUAGGGCUACCGCCGGCUGAUAAAGCUUAAACUCUUCUUAGAGGGACAGGCGGCGGACAACACUAGCCGCACGAGACUGAGCGAUAACAGGUCUGUGAUGCCCUUAGAUGUUCUGGGCCGCACGCGCGCUACACUGAAGGAAUCAGCGUGUAAUUAUGUCCCGGACCGAGAGGUUUUUCCGGGUAACCCGCUGAACCUCCUUCGUGCUAGGGAUCGGGGCUUGCAAUUGUUCCCCGUGAACGAGGAAUUCCCAGUAAGCGCGAGUCAUCAGCUCGCGUUGAUUACGUCCCUGCCCUUUGUACACACCGCCCGUCGCUACUACCGAUUGAACGACCGCAGUGAGGUCUUCGGACCGAGGUACGGCGGCGUUCGCGCCGAUUUGUACAUUCGGGAAGAUGACCGAACUCGGCCGUUUAGAGGAAGUAAAAGUCGUAACAAGGUUUCCGUAGGUGAACCUGCGGA
This 2401-nucleotide ribosomal RNA is filed under the name Phenacoccus solenopsis (Solenopsis mealybug). RNAcentral describes it as "SSU rRNA". It matches the Rfam family "Eukaryotic small subunit ribosomal RNA". Lineage: Eukaryota; Metazoa; Arthropoda; Insecta; Hemiptera; Pseudococcidae. The record is from RNAcentral.